GAUGAAGAACGUAGCGAAAUGCGAUAAGUAAUGUGAAUUGCAGAAUUCAGUGAAUCAUCGAAUCUUUGAACGCACAUUGCGCCCGCCAGUAUUCUGGCGGGCAUGCCUGUUCGAGCGGCAUUACAACCCUCAGGCCCCCGGGCCUGGCGUUGGGGAUCGGCGGAAGCCCCCUGUGGGCACACGCCGUCCCUCAAAUACAGUGGCGGUCCCGCCGCAGCUUCCAUUGCGUAGUAGCUAACACCUCGCAACUGGAGAGCGGCGCGGCCAUGCCGUAAAACACCCAACUUCUGAAUGUUGACCUCGAAUCAGGUAGGAAUACCCGCUGAACUUAAGCAUAUCAAUAAGCGGAGGA
RNAcentral lists this unclassified non-coding RNA (352 nucleotides) under soil metagenome. RNAcentral describes it as "partial contains 5.8S ribosomal RNA, internal transcribed spacer 2, and large subunit ribosomal RNA". The stretch from base 1 to 120 matches the Rfam family "5.8S ribosomal RNA", at positions 35 to 154 of the family's 154-position model. The record is from RNAcentral.